This 450-nucleotide ribosomal RNA is filed under the name uncultured Archaeospora. RNAcentral's name for it is "SSU rRNA". It matches the Rfam family "Eukaryotic small subunit ribosomal RNA", at positions 569 to 1026 of the family's 1831-position model. Lineage: Eukaryota; Fungi; Glomeromycota; Glomeromycetes; Archaeosporales; Archaeosporaceae. The record is from RNAcentral.
AGCAGCCGCGGUAAUUCCAGCUCCAAUAGCGUAUAUUAAAGUUGUUGCAGUUAAAAAGCUCGUAGUUGAAUUUUAGGCCUGACCGGACGGUCCGUCUCUGGCGAGUACUGUUCUGCUGUCGGGUCUAUCCUUCUGGUGAGCCGGUAUGCCCUUUAUUGGGUGUGUCGGGGAACCAGGACCAUUACCUUGAAAAAUUAGAGUGUUUAAAGCGGGCUUUUGCUUGAAUAGAUUAGCAUGGAAUAAUAGAAUAGGACGUUGGUUCUAUUUUGUUGGUCUAGGACCACCGUAAUGAUUAAUAGGGAUAGUUGGGGGCAUUAGUAUUCAAUUGUCAGAGGUGAAAUUCUUGGAUUUAUUGAAGACUAACUACUGCGAAAGCAUUUGCCAAGGAUGUUUUCAUUAAUCAAGAACGAAAGUUAGGGGAUCGAAGACGAUCAGAUACCGUCGUAGUCU